AAUUAUUCUCUUUCUCUGCGACUGUUUUACAAAAAGGAUCGCUGAUCUAUCGUGACCGUGAAAUUUAUGACCCAUAUACAUUGCCGUACUGUACCAACGUCAUGUCGAAAGAGGUCUCUCGUGUUUGAUCAAUUUUUCACGAUCGCGGGCUAAUUAUGGAGGAAGAUUACUUUGAGUUCCAGAAACUAGUUUGACGUGACGCAAAAACUGGAUGCAUCUAAACUUUCGGCAAAAUAUAAUCGUCACAAAGAGAAUCGCGAGUGAAAGUGACGACAAGAUCUGGGGUUUUGGUGGUUCAGAGUUUCAGACCUGA
Molecule: long non-coding RNA, 313 nt
Organism: Arabidopsis thaliana (thale cress)
Lineage: Eukaryota; Viridiplantae; Streptophyta; Magnoliopsida; Brassicales; Brassicaceae
Product: other RNA
Exons: 1
Source: RefSeq